RNAcentral lists this ribosomal RNA (253 nucleotides) under uncultured bacterium. Its description in RNAcentral is "partial 16S ribosomal RNA". It matches the Rfam family "Bacterial small subunit ribosomal RNA", at positions 524 to 776 of the family's 1533-position model. The record is from RNAcentral.
UACGAAGGGAGGUAGCGUUGUUCGGAAUUACUGGGCGUAAAGGGCGCGUAGGCGGCUUGGCAAGUUGGGUGUGAAAGCCCAGGGCUCAACCCUGGAAUUGCACUCAAGACUGCCUUGCUUGAAUUCGGUAGAGGUUGGUGGAAUUCCCAGUGUAGAGGUGAAAUUCGUAGAGAUUGGGACGAACACCCGUGGCGAAGGCGGCCAACUGGACCGACAUUGACGCUGAGGCGCGAACGCGUGGCGAGCAAACAGG